Molecule: ribosomal RNA, 477 nt
Filed under: uncultured Bacteroidota bacterium
Lineage: Bacteria; Pseudomonadati; Bacteroidota
Description: bacterial SSU rRNA
Rfam family: Bacterial small subunit ribosomal RNA
Source: RNAcentral
GACGAACGCUAGCGGCAGGCCUAAUACAUGCAAGUCGAACGGUAAGGUCUCUUCGGAGAUACACGAGUGGCGCACGGGUGCGUAACGCGUAUGCAACCUACCCUUUAGAGGGGGAUAGCCUAUGGAAACGUAGAAUAAUACCCCAUAUUAUGUAAGUAUCGCCUGAUACUAACAUGAAAGCUCCGGCGCUAAAGGAUGGGCAUGCGUCCCAUUAGCUAGUUGGUAAGGUAAUGGCUUACCAAGGCAACGAUGGGUAGCUGGUCUGAGAGGAUGAUCAGCCACACGGGCACUGAGACACGGGCCCGACUCCUACGGGAGGCAGCAGUAAGGAAUAUUGGUCAAUGGGGGCAACCCUGAACCAGCCAUGCCGCGUGCAGGAAGACGGCCCUCUGGGUUGUAAACUGCUUUUAUAGAGGACUAAAUAUGUGCUAUACGCAGAUUUGUAGGUACUCUAGGAAUAAGCACCGGCUAACUACG